GUGCUCGCUUUGGCAGCACAUAUACUAAAAUUGGAACGAUAUAGAGAAGAUUAGCAUGACCCCUGCGCAAGGAUGACAUGCAAAUUCGUGAAGGGUUCCAUAUUUCU
This 107-nucleotide small nuclear RNA is filed under the name Balaenoptera musculus (blue whale). The record is from RNAcentral. Lineage: Eukaryota; Metazoa; Chordata; Mammalia; Artiodactyla; Balaenopteridae.